Molecule: ribosomal RNA, 540 nt
Filed under: Graphilbum fragrans
Lineage: Eukaryota; Fungi; Ascomycota; Sordariomycetes; Ophiostomatales; Ophiostomataceae
Description: eukaryotic LSU rRNA
Rfam family: 5.8S ribosomal RNA (bases 214-367)
Source: RNAcentral
UCAUUACAAAAGAGUGAAAACUCCAACCCGUGUGAACCAUACCGACGUUUGUGCUGUCCUGUUGCUUUCGGCCGGCGGCUCUUUGGAGCCCGCAAGGUCCUUGGCGCUUCGGCGCGAGGGGCACCGGCCGGGGGUGGCAGCUCGGCAGUUUGUUUUAAACGCUUGCCUGAUAUUGUGGCUCGUCUGAGCAAAAAGAAAAGACAAAAUAGUCAAAACUUUCAACAACGGAUCUCUUGGUUCUGGCAUCGAUGAAGAACGCAGCGAAACGCGAUAAGUAAUGUGAAUUGCAGAAUUUAGUGAAUCAUCAAAUCUUUGAACGCACAUUGCGCCUGCCAGUAUUCUGGCAGGCAUGCCUGUCCGAGCGUCAUUUCCACCCUCAGGCGCCUAGUGCGCCUGCUGUUGGGGCAUUCUGCGGCCUAGCCGCAGGCCUCGAAAGCAAGUGGCGGGCUGGCUAGUCGGCUCCGAGCGCAGUAAUUUUUCUUCGCUUUGGACGCCCUGGCCUGCGCCUUGCCGUAAAAGCCUUAAUUUUUUUUAGGUUGA